UACGGUAGGGCGCAAGCGUUGUCCGGAAUCACUGGGCGUAAAGCGCGACGUAGGCGGAUUGUUAAAGUCCAGGGGUGAAAUCCCGGAGGCUCAACUCCGGAACUGCCCUUGAAACUGCAGUGCUAGGAAUUCUGGAGAGGCGAGUGGAAUUCCGAGUGUAGAGGUGAAAUUCGUAGAUAUUCGGAAGAACACCAGUGGCGAAGGCGACUCGCUGGACAGACAUUGACGCUGAGGUGCGAAAAGCGUGGGGGAGCAAACAGGG
This 262-nucleotide ribosomal RNA is filed under the name uncultured bacterium. RNAcentral describes it as "partial 16S ribosomal RNA". It matches the Rfam family "Bacterial small subunit ribosomal RNA", at positions 524 to 777 of the family's 1533-position model. The record is from RNAcentral.